This 253-nucleotide ribosomal RNA is filed under the name uncultured bacterium. Its description in RNAcentral is "partial 16S ribosomal RNA". It matches the Rfam family "Bacterial small subunit ribosomal RNA", at positions 524 to 776 of the family's 1533-position model. The record is from RNAcentral.
UACGUAGGAUGCAAGCGUUGUCCGGAAUUAUUGGGCGUAAAGAGCGCGCAGGCGGUAUGACAAGUCAGAUGUGAAAGAGGCCGGCUUAACCGGCAAGGGUCAUUUGAAACUGUCAGACUAGAGUGCAGCAGAGGAUAGUGGAAUUCCCGGUGUAGUGGUGAAAUGCGUAGAGAUCGAGAGGAACACCAGUGGCGAAGGCGGGUUCCUGGACAAGUCCUGACACUGAGGCACGAAAGCCGGGGGAGCAAACAGG